Molecule: ribosomal RNA, 115 nt
Filed under: Lepisosteus oculatus (spotted gar)
Lineage: Eukaryota; Metazoa; Chordata; Actinopteri; Semionotiformes; Lepisosteidae
Source: RNAcentral
UCCAGCAGCCACCCCUGCAAGUCACAACUGGUAACCCACUGAAGCUAAGCAGGUGUGAGCCUGGUCAGUACCUGGAUGGGAGACCUCCUGGGAAAAACUGAGGUUGCUGCUGGAA